UGGCUGAAUGGUAAAGCGCUUGGCUUCCAAACCGAGUAGUCUCGGGUUCGAAUCUCGA
RNAcentral lists this transfer RNA (58 nucleotides) under Biomphalaria glabrata. It matches the Rfam family "tRNA", at positions 8 to 63 of the family's 71-position model. From Rfam's summary of the family: Transfer RNA (tRNA) molecules are approximately 80 nucleotides in length. Their secondary structure includes four short double-helical elements and three loops (D, anti-codon, and T loops). The record is from Rfam by way of RNAcentral. Lineage: Eukaryota; Metazoa; Mollusca; Gastropoda; Planorbidae.